Long non-coding RNA from Hibiscus syriacus, 110 nucleotides. RefSeq lists it as uncharacterized. NCBI's taxonomy places the organism in Eukaryota, Viridiplantae, Streptophyta, Magnoliopsida, Malvales, Malvaceae. The transcript has 3 exons. The record is from RefSeq and is a predicted model, not a curated record.
GAGUUUCAAGUAUAACACAGCUACAUGAUCCAAAUUCCAAAAGCAUUUACUUGACAUCUAUUUCUGUCUCAUCUUUAGAAUAAAGUAUCGACAACACAACUGAAAAUAAA